Molecule: ribosomal RNA, 274 nt
Filed under: uncultured bacterium
Lineage: Bacteria
Description: partial 16S ribosomal RNA
Rfam family: Bacterial small subunit ribosomal RNA
Source: RNAcentral
AUACGGAGGGGGUUAGCGUUGUUCGGAAUUACUGGGCGUAAAGCGCACGUAGGCGGAUUGGAAAGUAGGGGGUGAAAUCCCAGGGCUCAACCCUGGAACUGCCUCCUAAACUAUCAGUCUAGAGUUCGAGAGAGGUGAGUGGAAUUCCAAGUGUAGAGGUGAAAUUCGUAGAUAUUUGGAGGAACACCAGUGGCGAAGGCGGCUCACUGGCUCGAUACUGACGCUGAGGUGCGAAAGCAUGGGGAGCAAACAGAAGUAGAAACCCCAGUAGUCC